GUAGGUGAACCUGCGGAAGGAUCAUUAACACGUAUCCACGUAUCAACCCCUAGUGUCACGAGUGCGCGAGCCGGUCAAACGUUUAGUUGACCGUAUGCAACACACGCCUGGCGUUUGUUGCGCGUGCUCAGUUCUCUUUUUUUUCCAAUUAUUAAAAUAACCACUUGAACCCAUCAGACUAAAACUAUUUCGAGUUUUUGCGCGGCUUUUUGCUGCUCUAAAACCGAAACAAUAAAAUAACAAGAAACAACUCUUAGCGACGGAUUUCUUGGCUCCC
This 277-nucleotide unclassified non-coding RNA is filed under the name rhizosphere metagenome. RNAcentral's name for it is "partial ribosomal RNA internal transcribed spacer region". The record is from RNAcentral.